UCCCUGUGAUGGCGGCGCCGGAGGUGGGUGAGGGCGGCGGUGCGGGCAGGGGGGACAAUCCGGCGCCAUCCGCCGCGCCCCGGGGCCCCCCCGCCGCUCGGCCCCGCCGCAUCGGAGCUCCGGGGGCUCCGCGUCCGGGCAGUGGCGUUUCGGGGAGCCCCGAUGGGCUGCGAGGGGGCGGCGCGGGGGUGACUCCGCUCCCCCCUCCGGCCCGGGGCCUCGGGGCGCCGGGGGGCAGCGGCUGCGCGGCGGAGGGGCCUGCCGGGCCCUGUCGAAGCUGCGCCUGUCUCCACCGCGUAGCUGGCGCAGUCAAAAAGGAGCCGAGAGCGAGCUGUUUUCCCAGACGGUCGCUGCGCAGUUUGUCGUGCCGUAACUGCCCAGCAACAUCCCGGGAAAAUACAUGUUCGGGAAGGGCCGAGGCGGCGCAGGGCGGCCGGGGUCUCCGCGCUGCCGCCGUGGUUUUGGGAUCCCGGCUGGGAAAGGCGCACGGAGAAGCGGGAGGCAGUGGGUGUCGCAGCUCUUCCGUUGCUCUAAAGCAUGUUCUUUCUGUAAGAAGCUGCCCGACGCUGAAGACCGGUGCUCCCCCGCUUCCUUCAAGCAUGGAAGGUGAUCCCGUGCCUGGGGAUGGCCAGGGCUCAGCAGCAUGAACGGUGUGUUCUAGGGUUGCUUGAUUAGGAGCUCGCUCAGCUGAUUGCCCGCUGGACGGACCCGCCAUGGCACUUGCAAGGUACAAAAAUUCAGUCCAAAGGUUAAGUUGUGGCCACUAAGAGGAGCCCAGGAGACGUGAAGAUUUGCCGGUGGUGUCCUCUGUGUCAUACACAAGUAAACCUCGUGAUGAGCUUCUUGGGUGGAAGUGCAAGUCAGCAGAGUCAGGAAGUGAUACAAAAUAAAAAUCAUCUUCCCCUGUUGUACAGUCUUGCCGAAUCGCUUAGUGGAAAAGGCUGAGAGCUCAUGGAGCCAAGUCAUGAAUCCCUUGCUCCAGCGAAGGGAAUCGGUUUGCUUGCCAAAAGGCCUAAAUCGUGCGUGGGGAAGCUCUGCGGCUAAACACGUCUAGAUGGAACAUAGAGCUGAGAUGAGCCGGUCUCUGAAGGUUUCGGUGCCUCUCUGUGCAAGUCUUCCCUUUCCAGUCCUCUCCUGAAGAAGUGGUGGUUCUGCACAAACAGAUCCUGGCUCCUUUGUGAGCCAUGAGCUCCCCCAGGUGGGGACAGCGGCUUAGGUUCAGGAGUCGUUCAGUGUUACGGGUGGCAGGAGCUUGUUUCACUGCAGAUGUUGAAGUUCCUGAAUAUUCAGCACGGAAGAAGUGUUCCUGCCAUGGGGUUCUGUCAGGGGAAGAGUUUGGGGGAGGGUCUGGACUUAAAACAUGGGCAGGAUGAAUAAACACAUCUGAAACUCUU
This is a long non-coding RNA of Dromaius novaehollandiae (emu), 1394 nucleotides long. RefSeq lists it as uncharacterized. The transcript is spliced from 5 exons. NCBI's taxonomy places the organism in Eukaryota, Metazoa, Chordata, Aves, Casuariiformes, Dromaiidae. The record is from RefSeq and is a predicted model, not a curated record.